GGCAUGCUUUACACAUGCAAGUCGGACGGCAGCACAGAGAAGCUUGCUUCUUGGGUGGCGAGUGGCGAACGGGUGAGUAACAUAUCGGAACGUACCGAGUAGUGGGGGAUAACUGAUCGAAAGAUCAGCUAAUACCGCAUACGUCUUGAGAGGGAAAGCAGGGGACCUUCGGGCCUUGCGCUAUUCGAGCGGCCGACAUCUGAUUAGCUAGUUGGUGGGGUAAAGGCCUACCAAGGCGACGAUCAGUAGCGGGUCUGAGAGGAUGAUCCGCCACACUGGGACUGAGACACGGCCCAGACUCCUACGGGAGGCAGCAGUGGGGAAUUUUGGACAAUGGGCGCAAGCCUGAUCCAGCCAUGCCGCGUGUCUGAAGAAGGCCUUCGGGUUGUAAAGGACUUUUGUCAGGGAAGAAAAGGCUGUUGCUAAUAUCAGCGGCUGAUGACGGUACCUGAAGAAUAAGCACCGGCUAACUACGUGCCAGCAGCCGCGGUAAUACGUAGGGUGCGAGCGUUAAUCGGAAUUACUGGGCGUAAAGCGAGCGCAGACGGUUACUUAAGCAGGAUGUGAAAUCCCCGGGCUCAACCUGGGAACUGCGUUCUGAACUGGGUGACUAGAGUGUGUCAGAGGGAGGUAGAAUUCCACGUGUAGCAGUGAAAUGCGUAGAGAUGUGGAGGAAUACCGAUGGCGAAGGCAGCCUCCUGGGAUAACACUGACGUUCAUGCUCGAAAGCGUGGGUAGCAAACAGGAUUAGAUACCCUGGUAGUCCACGCCCUAAACGAUGUCAAUUAGCUGUUGGGCAACUUGAUUGUUCAGUAGCGUA
RNAcentral lists this ribosomal RNA (820 nucleotides) under uncultured Neisseria sp. RNAcentral's name for it is "bacterial SSU rRNA". It matches the Rfam family "Bacterial small subunit ribosomal RNA", at positions 41 to 850 of the family's 1533-position model. The record is from RNAcentral. Lineage: Bacteria; Pseudomonadati; Pseudomonadota; Betaproteobacteria; Neisseriales; Neisseriaceae.